GUGCACCGUGGGGCUCGCAGUCUCCCAGUCUACGAAGGAGGCCGAGCUGGCCCGUCCGCAGUGAGGACUAGCCCCCGCCGAGUUCAGGCGGAAGGUCUCGGGUAACCCGCCAACGCUCUGCACACAAACCCCGGCCUCCAAUGAGUAAGGAAGGCAGGAAGGUCGGCGUUCUCGGCCGCCCGGCGGGUGGGAGCCCACGCCCUGCCUGGAUUUCCUCUCCUCUGGCUCAGCCCUUUGACAGGCGCAUUUUGCUCGUUAAUUGAACAUUAACUGACCUCCUAGAGUUCUGUUUCAAGUCACCGGGAGAGUCAGUUCUCACUUCACCUAAGAGAUGAGAACCACUUGGGGAGCUUUUUAAAAAUAAUGGUGCUUGUGUUCCAUCCUAUACUUCGAAAUUUUGGAGGUUGACCUGGGACUCUAGCUCAGGGUCUUUCGUUGGCCAUGUCUGAAGGGACUGGAUGCCAAAGGAGAGAGACGACUUUGCUUUCCAGAGGAGGGUCUGUGCCAUCUGACUCCCACAGGACCCCUUGGUCAGCGGCUCCAUCACUGGGCCUGGAGACUGUGUUGCUGUGCUGAAGCAGAAGAAGUUGGGAAAGGCUCUGAGAAACAGAAGAACACAGGCCCACCAAAGCCUGCCCUGUCCUCUUCCUCCCAGGACAGCUGUUCAUAAGCCAGGAGCAGGGGGAUGCCAAGCACGCCCUUUACAGCAGAGUGGUACUCAGGGACCCUGGGGCUAGGGGUGCUGCCCAGAACAGUCCAAAUCUUAUCUCAUCCCUGAGCAAUAAGUUAUGUUGCCCACAAUGUCAAGUCAGAGGACUUGGUUUUGACAUUGGUUUUGCUCUGGUUUUGAUAUUCUAUGUCCUCCAAGGGUUCAUGUGUUGAAAUUGAGUCCCCACUGUGAGGAAUCAGAGGAUGGAGACUUAUUCUGCUAUUUUAGGGGUGGGGCCUUUGGAGGUGAUUAGGAUUAGAAAAGGUCAUCUAGGAGGGGCCCCCAUGAUUGAAUCCUGAUGGCUUUGUAAAAAGACAGAAAGACCAGAGGAGGCACAGACACACAUGUACACUCCCUAUCUUUUGCCAUGUGACAUCUUGUACCACCUUGGGACAAUUCCAACAAGUUGGCCAUCAUCAGAAAUGGUCCUCACCCUUUGAUAAGAACUAUAAACCAAAAUAAUCCUUGUGGGAGGCCAUCCUCGCACGUGAUUUGAGUUACCUCCCUGGCUGGGUGAGAGGCGCUUAGACACAGCUGUAUUAGAGCCUUCCCCACCCUUUCCCAGGUCCGAGGGCUUGUCCGUGCAGAGGCGUGCCUGGCCACUGCCCUGAAGACCCAGUUGUUGCCCCUGACCUUGGGAUGCUGUCCCUCUUAACCUUCAUUGGAUGGGAUUUUCCCUGGAAUUUUUUGUUCCCCAAUUAAAGCCCACUCCCUGGCGUGUUCUCUCUUUCUCGCUAGUCUCUUCUGUAAACCUCACCACCGCAUUAGGUGGUUGGAGGCGGGAGCUAGGAGAAGCCGUCUCGGAGCUGGUAUUAAAGGUAA
Long non-coding RNA from Marmota monax (woodchuck), 1531 nucleotides. RefSeq lists it as uncharacterized. The transcript has 3 exons. The record is from RefSeq and is a predicted model, not a curated record. NCBI's taxonomy places the organism in Eukaryota, Metazoa, Chordata, Mammalia, Rodentia, Sciuridae.